GUCCUCGUAGCUCAACUGGUAGAGCACUCGCUGUACGAAAGCGAGGGUGGUGACCGCGCGUGGGUGCGAAUCCCGCUGAGGCCA
This 84-nucleotide transfer RNA is filed under the name Fasciola hepatica (liver fluke). It matches the Rfam family "tRNA". Rfam says of the family: Transfer RNA (tRNA) molecules are approximately 80 nucleotides in length. Their secondary structure includes four short double-helical elements and three loops (D, anti-codon, and T loops). The record is from Rfam by way of RNAcentral. Lineage: Eukaryota; Metazoa; Platyhelminthes; Trematoda; Plagiorchiida; Fasciolidae.